UUCGAGCGGCCGACGUCUGAUUAGCUAGUAGGUGAGGUAAAGGCUCACCUAGGCGACGAUCAGUAGCGGGUCUGAGAGGAUGAUCCGCCACACUGGGACUGAGACACGGCCCAGACUCCUACGGGAGGCAGCAGUGGGGAAUUUUGGACAAUGGGCGAAAGCCUGAUCCAGCCAUGCCGCGUGUCUGAAGAAGGCCUUCGGGUUGUAAAGGACUUUUGUCAGGGAGGAAAUCCCUAGCGUUAAUACCGCUGGGGGAUGACAGUACCUGAAGAAUAAGCACCGGCUAACUACGUGCCAGCAGCCGCGGUAAUACGUAGGGUGCGAGCGUUAAUCGGAAUUACUGGGCGUAAAGCGUGCGCAGGCGGUUUUGUAAGACAGGCGUGAAAUCCCCGGGCUCAACCUGGGAAUGGCGCUUGUGACUGCAAAGCUGGAGUGCGGCAGAGGGGGAUGGAAUUCCGCGUGUAGCAGUGAAAUGCGUGGAUAUGCGGAGGAACACCAAUGGCGAAGGCAAUCCCCUGGG
RNAcentral lists this ribosomal RNA (520 nucleotides) under uncultured beta proteobacterium. RNAcentral's name for it is "bacterial SSU rRNA". It matches the Rfam family "Bacterial small subunit ribosomal RNA", at positions 221 to 733 of the family's 1533-position model. Lineage: Bacteria; Pseudomonadati; Pseudomonadota; Betaproteobacteria. The record is from RNAcentral.